AGAGUUUGAUUAUGGCUCAGGACGAACGCUGGCGGCGUGCUUAAUACAUGCAAGUCGAACGAAGCCUAGUCUUUAGUUACUAUAGACGAAAGCUUAGUGGCGGACGGGUGAGUAACGCGUGGAGAAUCUGCCCUCAAGACCGGGAUAACAGAGCGAAAGUUCUGCUAAAACCGGAUAUGCUCUGAGAGCCGCAUGGUUUAAAGAGGAAAACGUUAGUGCUUGAGGAUGGCUCCGCGUCCCAUUAGCUAGUUGGUAAGGUAACGGCUUACCAAGGCGACGAUGGGUAGCCGGCCUGAGAGGGUGACCGGCCACACUGGGACUGAGACACGGCCCAGACUCCUACGGGAGGCAGCAGUAGGGAAUUUUCCGCCAAUGGGCGAAAGCCUGACGGAGCAACGCCGCGUGAAGGAUGAAGGCCUUCGGGUCGUAAACUUUUGUCUUUGGGGACGAUAAUGACGGUACCCAAGGAGGAAGCCCCGGCUAACUACGUGCCAGCCGCCGC
Molecule: ribosomal RNA, 502 nt
Filed under: uncultured bacterium
Lineage: Bacteria
Description: bacterial SSU rRNA
Rfam family: Bacterial small subunit ribosomal RNA
Source: RNAcentral